CGAUAAAUUAAGUACCAGUUACACACUGGGGUCAAUGUAAUCGACUAGUCCCCUCCCCACAAAUUUCAGGCCCUUGUGCCUAUAAUAGAAGGGAUUAUUAUCAUUAUUAUUAUUAUCAACAUCAUUGUGGUGGCAAGUUUGUCGAUUCAGUUGAGGUGCAGAACUAUCUUACAGUUAAUCCUUUUUUAAUUACUCUCCCCUCCACUUACCCAUUUCAGUUUGCCCUGGGGUACAGAGAAGGUGAACAUUUGACUAUGGUUUUCACCCACCUUUCAUCACCUUCACUUUUUUUUGUGGUAAAUAAACUUUAAAAUACCUGUUGUAUACCUGUUGUAUGUCAGGGAAGAAAGCACGACAUAGAGGGAUACAUUUCAAUUGAAUCUACUUUUUAUUUUUUUUAUAGAAAUCCACAUUAUUAUCAUCGUCAUCAUCAUCAUCAUCAAAGCAAUGAGCUGGCAGAAUUGUUAGCACACUGGGCGAAAUGCUUGGCAUCAUUUCAUCCAUAUCCUUACAUUCUGAGUUCAAAUCCUGCUGAGGUUGGCUUUGCCUUUUUAUCUUUCCAAUGGUCAAUAGAAUACCAUUUGAGUACAGGGAUCAAUGUAAUUAACUUACUCCUUCCCUUGUUGAACUCCCUCCCUUUAAAUCUGGCCACGGUUGAAGAAAUAUGAACCAGGUAGGGAGUGGGGGAAGGGGAGGGGUGAACUCACAAGAUGUUCACUCUGCAACACUUAAGUUCUGUAUCUGUACUCUCAAUUUCAUCCUUGUAUUGUCCCCAUCUGAAGCUUUUGCUGCCCUUAAAAGAAAUUAUUAUUAUUAUUAUUAUCAUCAUCAUUAUUAUAUAAAGCGGCAAGCUGGCAGAAUCGUUAGCACACCAAGUGGAUUGCUUAGUGGUAUUAUGUCUGCCGCAACAUUCUGAGUUCAAAUUCUUCCGAGGUCGACUUUGCCUUUUGAUCCUUUCAAGGUCGAUAAAUUAAGUACCAGUUAUGCACUGAGGUCUCUGUAAUCGACUGUCCCCUUCCCCUAAAAUUUCAGGCCUUGUGCCUAUAAUAGAAAGGAUUAUUAUUAUGCACACCGCAGUGGAUUAGCAGAAUGGUCAGAGCAUCAGACAAAAUGCCUUAAGGUAUAACUCGUGAUCAGAGUUCAAAUCCUGCUGAGGUGAACUUUUCCUUUCAUCCCAUCAGGGUUGAUAAAGUAUUUGCCAGUUGAGUUUCUGGGGUUGAUGUUAUUGACUUACCCCAUCACCUAAAAUUGCUGGCAUUGUGCCAAAAAUUUGAAACCAUUAUUAUUAUUAUUAUUAUUAUUAUUAAUUGGGUUGGUGGAGGCAAGCUUCCAGAAUUCUUAGCAGACAGGACAAAAUGCAAAGCUACAUUUCUUGUAGUUUUACAUCUUGAGUUCAGAUUCCACCGAGGCUGACUUUGAAUUUCAUCUUUUGAGGAACAAGAAAUCAAACACUUGUUGAACAUUGGGGUCGAGGUAAUUGAUUAGUCCCCUCUCCUGAGAAUUUCAGGCCCUUGUGCUUAUAGUGGAAAGGCUUAUUUGGUAAGAAUGAGGAUUGGCAAAAAUGGUGCAAGAUUCCUUCCAUCCCCCGACAUCCGUGUUUGAAUCCUCUUCUGUAGGGUUCACUUUACCCCUCAUCCAUCUUCUUUUGUCCCAGGAGUAAGUAAGGGAGUAGGGAGGUUGAUAUAUAAGUGAAUAUACCCCCUCCCCUUAAUUUGAGGCUUUAUGCUUAAUUCCCCUUUUGUAAUGUUCCCAUCCAACCUCGUUGUCUGUCGCCCUUGUUGCAAAUAAAAGAAAAAAAGGAUAAUUAUUAUUAUUAUUAUUAUUAUUGCUGCUAUUGGUCGUUGCAGUGCGAGAGACUCUGAUAGUCUUUUACUGACCAUUCCCAUGAGACUCCCUCCUCACACGAAACCCUUUUUCUUUGUUUUGUUUUGAUUUUUUUUUAUUAUUUAAAACAAAAAUACAAAAUUGUGAAAAACUUUAAAAAAAAAAUGUCUGUUUUACUUAAAAAAAUGAUAUUUUGUAAGGAAAAAAUACCGAAAAAAAUGCUUUGAUUUUUUCACAUUUAUCAACGUCAUUAUUAUAUAUGGAUCUAAUAAAGAACUAAGAAUUAUUA
RNAcentral lists this long non-coding RNA (2113 nucleotides) under Octopus sinensis (East Asian common octopus). RNAcentral's name for it is "uncharacterized LOC118766572". The record is from RNAcentral. Lineage: Eukaryota; Metazoa; Mollusca; Cephalopoda; Octopoda; Octopodidae.